Molecule: unclassified non-coding RNA, 497 nt
Filed under: Thalassophilus longicornis
Lineage: Eukaryota; Metazoa; Arthropoda; Insecta; Coleoptera; Carabidae
Description: partial contains 16S ribosomal RNA (rrnL) and tRNA-Leu (trnL)
Rfam family: Bacterial large subunit ribosomal RNA (bases 340-497)
Source: RNAcentral
AAUGGCCGCAGUAUUUUAACUGUGCAAAGGUAGCAUAAUAAUUAGUUUUUUAAUUUAAAGCUUGUAUGAAGGGUUGGACGAAAUAAUAACUGUCUCAUGAUAAUUUAUAUUAGAAUUUAAUUUUUAAGUCAAAAAGCUUAAAUAAAAUUAAUAGACGAGAAGACCCUAUAGAGUUUUAUAUUUUUAUUAAUUUAUUUAAUUAUGAUUUAGUUAAUUUUAAUUUAAUAAAAUUAUUUUAUUGGGGUAAUAGAAAGAUUAUUAUAAUUCUUUUUAAUAAUUAUCAUUAAUUUAUGAAUAAAAGAUCCAAUUUUAUUGAUUAAAAGAUAUAAUUACCUUAGGGAUAACAGCGUAAUUUUUUUAAAGAGUUCUUAUCGAUAAAAAAGUUUGCGACCUCGAUGUUGGAUUAAAGAUUAGUUUAGGUGUAGAAUUUUAAAUUUUUGGUCUGUUCGACCAUUAAAUCUUUACAUGAUCUGAGUUCAGACCGGCGUAAGCCAGGU